AGGAACCGGAUGCGGGAAAACCGCACGUCCGGGUCUGUGCGGGCGUCCGGCAACGGGCGUUCCUGCCGCGAGAUGGACAUUCUUCUUUGGUUAUAAUUGCGCGAACGCAAGGUCGUUGCAAAU
Molecule: unclassified non-coding RNA, 123 nt
Filed under: Candidatus Kentrum sp. MB
Lineage: Bacteria; Pseudomonadati; Pseudomonadota; Gammaproteobacteria
Source: RNAcentral